Molecule: ribosomal RNA, 228 nt
Filed under: uncultured bacterium
Lineage: Bacteria
Description: partial 16S ribosomal RNA
Rfam family: Bacterial small subunit ribosomal RNA
Source: RNAcentral
CGUGUAGGCGGUUUAGCAAGUCAGAUGUGAAAGCCCUGGGCUUAACCCGGGAAGUGCAUUUGAAACUGCUUCACUAGAGUAUGGGAGAGGAGAUUGGAAUUCCUGGUGUAGAGGUGAAAUUCGUAGAUAUCAGGAGGAACACCCGUGGCGAAGGCGAUUCUCUGGACCAAUACUGACGCUGAGACGCGAAAGCGUGGGGAGCAAACAGGAUUAGAUACCCUGGUAGUC